ACCAGAAUGGCAGAGUGGCUAAGGUGUUGGACUUAAGAGCCAAUGGACCUGUGCCUCUAUGGGUUCAAACCCCACUCCUGGUA
Molecule: transfer RNA, 83 nt
Filed under: Pelodiscus sinensis (Chinese soft-shelled turtle)
Lineage: Eukaryota; Metazoa; Chordata; Testudines; Trionychidae
Rfam family: tRNA
About the family: Transfer RNA (tRNA) molecules are approximately 80 nucleotides in length.
Source: Rfam by way of RNAcentral